UCGGGAAUUUUGGGCAAUGGGCGAAAGCCUGACCCAGCAACGCCGCGUGAAGGAUGAAGUAUUUCGGUAUGUAAACUUCGAAAGAAUAGGAAGAAUAAAUGACGGUACUAUUUAUAAGGUCCGGCUAACUACGUGCCAGCAGCCGCGGUAAUACGUAGGGACCAAGCGUUGUUCGGAUUUACUGGGCGUAAAGGGCGCGUAGGCGGCAAUUCAAGUCAUCUGUGAAAUCUCCGGGCUUAACUCGGAACGGUCAGAUGAUACUGCUUUGCUAGAGUGCAGAAGGGGCAAUCGGAAUUCUUGGUGUAGCGGUGAAAUGCGUAGAUAUCAAGAGGAACACCUGAGGUGAAGACGGGUUGCUGGGCUGACACUGACGCUGCGGCGCGAAAGCCAGGGGAGCAAACGGGAUUAGAUACCCCUGUAGUCCCUGAGCGGGCUGGCAAGGCGCAU
RNAcentral lists this ribosomal RNA (447 nucleotides) under uncultured bacterium. RNAcentral describes it as "bacterial SSU rRNA". It matches the Rfam family "Bacterial small subunit ribosomal RNA", at positions 355 to 825 of the family's 1533-position model. The record is from RNAcentral.